Molecule: ribosomal RNA, 425 nt
Filed under: Triticum aestivum (bread wheat)
Lineage: Eukaryota; Viridiplantae; Streptophyta; Magnoliopsida; Poales; Poaceae
Description: partial small subunit ribosomal RNA
Source: RNAcentral
CGCCUCCCGGCUACGAUCUCAUCCUGAUCGUUGAUUCUGACGGCGGGGUCUGGAUUGUUUGCAUUCAGGACGAGACCAUGCAAUAGCAUGCAGCAGCAUGGAAAACUUUCUAUACGGCGCUGCUACAUGUACGGCAAGGUUGCAUCCAACACCAUAUGUGUUCUGGCAGCAGCAUCGUGGCGAAUGUCUGCCGUCGUUGUCCUCCUCUUUGGUCGCCAUCGUUGCUGCCACGACCAUACAUCUCUUUGAUGACUGCAUCACCUACCCUAUCUGUCGGCAAUGAUCCGAGGUUCAUGAGGACAGUUCUGGUGAUGGUGUGUAUCUUCUAUCAUGCAUGUUAAAACUGGUGGCAAUAAUUUGACUUGUAAAAUAUGAACGGGUUGCUUGUUUAUCUGUAUUCUGUACUCCGUUUGCGACAUAUGAAC